Molecule: ribosomal RNA, 253 nt
Filed under: uncultured bacterium
Lineage: Bacteria
Description: partial 16S ribosomal RNA
Rfam family: Bacterial small subunit ribosomal RNA
Source: RNAcentral
UACGUAGGGUGCAAGCGUUAAUCGGAAUUACUGGGCGUAAAGCGUGCGCAGGCGGUGAUGUAAGACAGAUGUGAAAUCCCCGGGCUCAACCUGGGAACUGCAUUUGUGACUGCAUCGCUGGAGUGCGGCAGAGGGGGAUGGAAUUCCGCGUGUAGCAGUGAAAUACGUAGAUAUGCGGAGGAACACCGAUGGCGAAGGCAAUCCCCUGGGCCUGCACUGACGCUCAUGCACGAAAGCGUGGGGAGCAAACAGG